This 559-nucleotide long non-coding RNA is filed under the name Chlamydomonas reinhardtii. Its description in RNAcentral is "long non-coding RNA (CREI_LNC000311)". The record is from RNAcentral. Lineage: Eukaryota; Viridiplantae; Chlorophyta; Chlorophyceae; Chlamydomonadales; Chlamydomonadaceae.
UGCGCCAACACUACCUGCAAGCGCGUGCUGGUGGUCUUCGAGGACGACAGACAGCAGGUGGUCGAGGUGACGGACGACUUUGACGUGGACACUAAGGACCUGGCCGCCGUUAAGGCCAAGCUGACGGAGCAGGGCAUCACGGUGAGCGAAGGAAGCACCACGUUUUUGUUCACAGCGGAUACCGUAGUGCCAGUAGCAAUGACUGACUUGCCGACGAGAUACCGAUGCUUGUGCCAGUAAAUGCUGCCGAUAUUGUUCUCACAGGGCAUCAAGAGCGUGGCCCUGUACGGUGACAUGUCCUCCACGGAGAGCGGAAGCGGACCGUCCACGUCCGCGCCUCCGCGCACGCCUGGCGCGCCGCCUCGCUCGCCGGCGGGCACUGCCGCUGCUGGCGCACCCGCGUCCUCGCCGGAGCCCUCCAUGCGCCCUGGAACUGGACGCCGCGGCGCGAACCCGGACCACAACCGCAGCAGCAUCAUCUUUGGCUAAGCCCCGCUGGCUGACAGGUGCAAGGAUUUGAUGUGCGUUGGGGCUACUUGAUACAUAGCAGCGUGGGAUU